AAAGACCUAUGGUUUAAAGUUUAGAAUACUAUUUAAUGUAUAACUUUUAUAUGAAGUACAUUAAAAUAACACUGUGCGAUUAUACUUCAUCAUAAUCUCCAUUGUUCCUUGAACAACAUCCAAUGACACAUCCACCAAGCCACAGCGCAGCGAAACCAGUCAUAAAUAGUCCUGUCAAUAGUGCGUCCAUAUCUUUACAAUUCCUAUUAAUGAGUACACACGAAAUAGUUACACAUAAAAUUCCAAGGAAAGUCCAAAUUAAAAUGCAACAAGACUUUAAACAAACACUCAAUCCUGAACAUAAACUUAUUCCUGAAAACAGUAUUGUACAAGCAGCAACAAUCGGAAGAACUGCUAUUAGCCAUUUUUCGCUAUUGUUUUUGCAAUGACUACUUUGUGUAAACUCUGCAGCAAGAAUGAAUAUUAUUCCAGUGAGUGUCCAGAAUAUUGAACAUGACCAUUUAACGCAGUUUGUUCCGGUAUCACACACGCACAGAACCAUAGACAUGAUAGCUAUUUACUUCCAGUCU
Molecule: long non-coding RNA, 530 nt
Filed under: Mytilus galloprovincialis (Mediterranean mussel)
Lineage: Eukaryota; Metazoa; Mollusca; Bivalvia; Mytilida; Mytilidae
Source: RNAcentral